This 316-nucleotide long non-coding RNA is filed under the name Trifolium pratense (red clover). RNAcentral's name for it is "long non-coding RNA (TPRA_LNC006595)". The record is from RNAcentral. Lineage: Eukaryota; Viridiplantae; Streptophyta; Magnoliopsida; Fabales; Fabaceae.
GGCUUUUUUGGACUAACAGCAAUUACUACUAUGUACCCCACUCCACCACCCCCACAAAAAUUCAUGAAUAUCAUGUAGGUCUCAGCAUUGGAUAUACCUCCAGAUUCGAGUAUCUCACUGAGAAUCAAAAGAUUUUACCUCGUGCCAAAAUAAUAUAUCCAUUAUAUUUUAUGAUAAAGGAACACAAAUAAGAAUUUGAAAUUUGAAUCUAUUAAAUGGAUCAACCUAUACUAAAAUGUCGGGAAAGCCAAAAAAAUACAUUCACGGUUAACUGUAUAACUAUGCCCAUACAAAGAUAUGUUUAGAGCAACAAAUU